This 254-nucleotide ribosomal RNA is filed under the name uncultured bacterium. RNAcentral's name for it is "partial 16S ribosomal RNA". It matches the Rfam family "Bacterial small subunit ribosomal RNA", at positions 524 to 776 of the family's 1533-position model. The record is from RNAcentral.
UACGGAGGGUGCGAGCGUUGUCCGGAAUCACUGGGCGUAAAGGGCGCGUAGGCGGCGGAGUAAGCGUGCGGUGAAAGCUCGGGGCUCAACCCCGAGUCGGCCGUGCGAACUGCUCUCGCUCGAGCAUUGUAGAGGUCGAUGGGAUUCCGGGUGUAGCGGUGGAAUGCGUAGAGAUCCGGAAGAACACCGGUGGCGAAGGCGGUCGACUGGGCAAUGGCUGACGCUGAGGCGCGACAGCGUGGGGAGCAAACAGG